GUUAGAGCCCCCCGCAGCCCCCCACCCCCGGCUCCCUCACCCCCACCGUCCUCGGACGCGAUCCCGGCUGGGCCACCCGGGGUGCCUGCGGUCUGGCUGAGCUGGCGGGCCCGAAGCACACACUGGCCCAUUGUACACAAGCCCAGACUGGCCACAGGCCAGACCCGGCCCGCGGCAGCACGGCUUUUAAAUCCCACCAUUUAUGUAUUUGGUUUGGUAGCUUUAGGUCGAUGAUGUACUUAAUUUCACCUCGAUAUUGAGUUUGAAUGAACUGAAAGGAAAACACAAAUAUAUAAAACAAUGGCUGGCCGGCUCCAGGCGGGGGACAGGUGUUUCCUAUCUGGAUAUCCCUCUGUAUUUGCUCCAUCCGCUUCCCCUGGGAGCGGGGUGGGCCCCGAAGCAGUUUCUUUUAAACAGUUUUGUAAUGAACGUGUAGUCGGGGCCCAGCUGGGCGCCCCUGGGGCAGCCCUCUCUUGGGCCUUUUAAACACAGCAGUUACAGGAGGGCUCACCUGUCACAUAAGUUGUCUGAACCCAGGGCUAACGAUCUGCGACAGCAUUGGCGAGGGAACUGUCUACAGAUGAGGUGAGACACCCCAAACCUCUCCCUGCCUUCCUCCCGUAACCCCAGCUACACUUGUCCUAAAGGGGGGUUUUUUAAAAGAAGUUUCGAAAGGACAGAAGAGCAGAGUAACACGAUUAGCCGGUAAGCCCACACGUUUUAGAGAAAUCGCUUUUGCUCUGGUUUGUCAGGAAAGAACGGGGCCUGUCCUCAGGCCGGUGACGGCCGUUUGCCUCAGGGGGGCCUGGGCAGUCCUCCCCGCCGCCCCAGGCCCCAGGCCUGAGCCCGCGCCAACCUUCUGGUGCGCCGGGCACCAUUCCUACGGUCAGAGUCCUUCUGGGCCUUGUCCCUCCUCAGCCACCGGGGCAGCGCCCUGGGGGUGUGACCACGAAGUCCCAGGGCACCCCGCGCUUGGGAGGGGGCCCCGCCCAUGGCGGUCAGCGCUCCGCUAUCUCGGUCCUGACACUUCACCACUCCCCCUGGGACUCUGCUUGGUGGAUGAAGUCCAGUGGGACAAAUGAGUUCACGGCCCCCCAGCCCAGCGACUGCCGGGAGGGCCCGGGGCAGGUGCCAAGUCGCAGGGUGGGCCCGGGGCUCCUGUGAGGGUCUGCACUUGCAAUAAAAGCACACGGUGACAGGUCAAGAGAGAAACCACAGGAAAAGCUUUUUUUCUGUUUUCCUACUUCUUGAACAAGGGACCCUGUGUUUUCACCUGGCACUGAGGCCUGCAGAUUAUACAGCUGGCCAAGCUCAGUGACCUGGGGUCCACUCUGGAUGUAGAGAAAACACACCUCUGUCAGGGGCACGGGCAUUGGGUCCAGAAAACGCCCUGCUGCCGACCAGCAUGUUGAAAAAGGAGGCCACAGAGCGGGGAGGAACCAAGCCAAGGACAUCAAGGCAAAGGAACUGGGACCCCCGCCCAGGUGGGGGAUGGUGACCACAUACUCACCACAAGCAUGCAGACCCCAGACUGGCUGGAACCAGAAGACUGUUGGUCAAAAAUCCCAAAACACCACUCUGUUAGCUCACCACCAACCAAUCAGAAGAAGGGCGCGUGAGCUGCAACCCUCGUCCCAAAUGUUGCCUUUAAAACCCCUUCCCUGAAAAUCAGUGAGGGGUUGGGGCUUUCAAGCAUGAGCUGUCCAUUCUCCUUGCUUGUUGCCCUGCAAAUAAACGCUGUGCUUUUCUUCACACACCACAGUGUCAGUAAGUUGGCUUUGCUACAUGGCGAGCAAGGUUGGUUCAGUAACAGAGGGUACCAGGCCCAGGGACAAAGGUCUGAAGUGGCCUUGACAGCCCAUGGGCUGUGUGAGAACAAGCAACGGGCUCCUGCGUCACUGCAGCUUGCACAUCUCCCUGGAGAGCAUCCAGCACCACGGGGACCCCAGGCUCUCAGGGCCUGGGGACAAGUGCCAGCAUCUGGACACACAUGGGCUGGACACAGGCCCCACAGGACACAGUUACAUGAGUGUGCAUGCCACAAAAGCCUGGGAGAAAACACAUAAAACUCUUCACAGUGUUUCUCAGCAAGGCAGCGGUUGAUAAACACCCUCGGUGUAAGGAGCGGUGAAACACAGAAUCCACGCAUAUUUCUGGGAACGCGACCAGCUCCUUGUCAGUAGCCCCAGCACAGGACGUGGGUGUGCGAGUACUGGCACACGGGGGCAUACACGAACGCUCAUGGCACACACAGCCCACACCCAAUCCACACUCCGGUUUCUCACAAAGCCCAGACUGGGCUGUCUGUCACGGCCAGCAAUAGCACUGAGCGGACAGAAAAGGAGCCACAGAAGUGGCUGGGCCAGUGAACCAGCGGACCACCGGCUGUCCUGAUGGCUGACAGGGUUCACUCCUGCGCAGCAGAGCCGCGGCCUGCGGGCCGUCCACUGAGGGCGCCCCUGAAGCCGCAUCUGUCCGCAGUUUCGGUGACAUGUCCAACGGACACACGGUGUUGUCCAGGGUGGGCUGGGGAGGGGCUCGUGGCAGUCCGGGGCUUCAGGCUUGCUGGUUUAUAUAGCCCUUCCCCCUAAUUUUAAACGUAAGGAAACUGAGGCUUGUAUGAAGAGUGAGGUCCUCCAGGUGACCCCAGACCAAUCUGAGUCAGGAGAGAGCAUCACCAAAACCUGGGUCACCAGAACCACCUCCAGGGAG
Molecule: long non-coding RNA, 2712 nt
Organism: Bos taurus (domestic cattle)
Lineage: Eukaryota; Metazoa; Chordata; Mammalia; Artiodactyla; Bovidae
Source: Ensembl